CAGCCGCCACGGGAAUACAGAGGGUGCGAGCGUUAAUCGGAUUUACUGGGCGUAAAGCGUGCGUAGGCGUCUUCUUAAGUCGGAUGUGAAAUCCCUGAGCUUAACUUAGGAAUUGCAUUCGAUACUGGGAAGCUAGAGUAUGGGAGAGGAUGGUAGAAUUCCAGGUGUAGCGGUGAAAUGCGUAGAGAUCUGGAGGAAUACCGAUGGCGAAGGCAGCCAUCUGGCCUAAUACUGACGCUGAGGUACGAAAGCAUGGGGAGCAAACAGGAUUAGAUACCCCCGUAGUCCCUGUCUCUUAUAA
This 301-nucleotide ribosomal RNA is filed under the name uncultured bacterium. RNAcentral's name for it is "partial 16S ribosomal RNA". It matches the Rfam family "Bacterial small subunit ribosomal RNA", at positions 509 to 809 of the family's 1533-position model. The record is from RNAcentral.